GCUAUGAAUGGGCAAACCCAUUGAAAAGUGGGGACGCAAAGCCACGGGCCUAAUGUACACGUUACGAUGGCAGCCGGGUUGCCAAC
Molecule: non-coding RNA, 86 nt
Filed under: Brevibacillus brevis
Lineage: Bacteria; Bacillati; Bacillota; Bacilli; Caryophanales; Paenibacillaceae
Also listed under: 1 other name
Description: c-di-GMP sequence
Rfam family: c-di-GMP-I riboswitch aptamer
About the family: GEMM was predicted in a large-scale screen for bacterial structured RNA regulatory elements. Genes associated with GEMM are involved in a diverse array of functions, including chemotaxis regulation, signal transduction, secretion and chitin.
Source: RNAcentral